Molecule: non-coding RNA, 2624 nt
Organism: Oryctolagus cuniculus (rabbit)
Lineage: Eukaryota; Metazoa; Chordata; Mammalia; Lagomorpha; Leporidae
Source: RefSeq, a predicted model, not a curated record
CAGUUGCUGUGCACACAGCAUGCAGGAACCAAGCCCCAGGCACAUUUCCCGCCAGAUGUUUCGCAAGGGCCAACUUCCUUCCUGCCGUGUCCGGGCACCACGUCCCCAGCGGGCACAGGGCGCCUGCACGUGUAGCCGUGUGCCAGGCGUGACAUUUCAUGGCUGAAACUGACAGGAUCCUUCCUGGAAUUCCCGGGCCCAAGACUCCUGCAGGGAGCUGUGACAAAUACUCGGGUGGUGGGGGCUGGCGCUGUGGCGUAGUGCGCUGGCAUCCCAUAUGGGCACAGCUUCCUGGUCCAGAGCUGCUCUUCCGACCCCGCCCCCUGCCAUGGCCGGGGAAGCAGUGGAAGGUGACCCCAGUGCUUGGGCCCUGCCCCAGAAGCAGCUCCAGGCUCCUGGCUUUGGAUCGGCCCAGCUCCGGCCGUUGCAGCCAUUUAGGGGGUGAACCAGCGGAUGGAAGACCUUCCUCUCUGCCUCUCUCUAACUCUGCCUUCCAAACACAUCUUUAACAAAACAGAUUCAGAUGGUGGAGAACCCUCCUACGGUUUUGUAGGUUGCUGUGUCGGAGAAAGAGGGGCCUGGAUCCACAAGAACAGGGCCAUCUGGAUUUUGGCAGCAUCAUUCCGGGCCCUACCUGAUUAUCAGCCUGCUGCAGACUCACUGGAAUUUGAAUCUUGACCCCACGUGGAGGCCGUGGCAGGGCCCGACCACGGGACUUCCUGGUCUCCCGUGGCCUGUGGGCCAGGCGCUCCCCGCCCUGGAUGACCUGGAUCGCUGAGGCCCCCAUGGAGGGUUUUCUCUAUGGCGUGUGUGUUGUGCCCCUGUACUCACCUCUUUCUCUCGCUCCACCUGGCCUGAUUCCUGGGGUGCACUCACGAACCCUGCGUUCCUGCACCCCUCGAGGUCUCCACGUGCAUCCUUCCGUGCAUCAGGGGAGGAAGCAGCCGUGAGUCCAGUCCGGGGACCCUGCUGCCUGCCCUGCACGGAGCCGCCCGUGAGGGGGCUGCCAGCACCCCCACUGUUCACGUGGGCCCUGGGCGUGGCUGUGGUUGGGUUUGCUAUGGGGGCGGGGACACGCGUGUGGGGGCUGCAUCACCAGCAACGAGGGGCAGAGACACUGGUGUCUCCGCUGGGGUGGAGCUGUCUGGCGGGGUUCACGGGUGAAGCAGGUGUGAGUGAGGGGCCCCUGCCUGCCUUGCUCCACGCAGGGGUCCACGGGGCCCCCGAGGAGGGGACCCUGGGCGGUGCUGCUAUGACAGCCACGGACUCAGAGGGUGUGGCGUGUGGUUUGGUUUCUCCCAGCCCCCUCCCUCUGACCUCCUCAGCGCCUCCUCCUCCUCCCUCCAUCGCCACCUCCCAGUCUUUUCUGCCCCUCAGUGCCUCUCCUGCCCUGCCCACGGCUCUGCUCUGGCUCCCUGGGCUCCUUCUCCAGGUCUGGGUGAUAACGUUCGAGAGGGACACACAGGUUUGCAGCUGGCCGUGGGGGUGACGUUCCCAACCGCGAGCCUGAACAGGUGCAGGCCCUCCCCGGUGUCUUCAACACAAGGAGGCUGUGAUUGUAGGACACAGAGCUCCCGGGGCUCAGUGAGUCACCAGCACUUUGGUUUUUUUAAGAUUUAUUUAUUUACUUGAAAGUCAGAGCUACACAGAGAGAGGAGAGGUGGAGAGAGGAGAGAGAGAGAGAGAGAGAGAGAGAGAGAGAGGUCUUCCAUCUGCUGGUUCACUCCCCACAUGGCUGCAAUGGCUGGAGCUGUGCUGACUUGGAGCCAGGAGCCAGGAGCUUCCUCCAGGCCUGCCCUGCAGGUGCAGGGGCCCAAGCACUUGGGCCAUCUUCCACUGCUUUCCCAGGCCACAGCAGAGAGCUGGAUCGGAAGUAGAGCAGCUGGGUCUCCAGAGCCCACACGGGAUGCCGGCACUGCGGGCUGCAGCUUUACCCACUAUGCCACAGCGCCAGCCCCUGUGCCCAGCAAGGUUGUCCAUCAGGGAUACACAAGCGAUAAAGGGUUUCCCGGGUGAAAGCGAGGGAGCGAGCACAUCACACUAGACCUGGCCUGCGCGGGGAGUGAGCGGGAGUCGGGGCAGCAGGACGAGAGCGCUGGCUGGGGCUGGUGCGCAGGUUAGGCUGCCGCUUCCACUGGCGGCGGCCCUCGUCACUUCCACUGGCGGCGGCCCUCGUCACUUCCACUGGCGGCGGCCCACGUCACUUCCACGGGCGGCGGCCCACGUCACUUCCACUGGCGGCGGCCCACGUCAGAGGGCCGGUUUGAGUCUCCGUGCAACGGGACCGAAUACAUCCAUGUUUUCCUUGCCGCAUCCUGAGGCUCGCUGAUGCUGAUGUGUAUAAACAGAGAAGGCCUGCUUGGGACUCCAGGAUCCGGCCUGCAGAGAGCCGGCUGCAGAAGCUGCGGGAUCUGGCCAUAGCUCCCGGUCAGUGAGGCUGCGGUCCCAACGUGUCGGAACAAAACGCAAAGGGCCAAGCCCACAAGCAAGAUUCCUGGCAGCUGCGCUGGCGCCUGAGACGGCCCUGUGGUCAGCCCCAGCCCAGCCACGCAGGAAGGCAUCAGUAAGACGUCAGUCUCCCGUCGCCCUCAUCUGAUGACAGAUUAAACUCUUCUUCCUUUACC